GACGAACGCUGGCGGCGUGCUUAACACAUGCAAGUCGUACGGUAAGGCCCUUUCUGGGGUACACGAGUGGCGAACGGGUGAGUAACGCGUGAGUAACCUGCCCACAACUUUGGGAUAACGCUAGGAAACUGGUGCUAAUACUGGAUAUGUGCUCCUGCUGCAUGGUGGGGGUUGGAAAGCUCCGGCGGUUGUGGAUGGACUCGCGGCCUAUCAGCUUGUUGGUGGGGUAGUGGCCUACCAAGGCGGCGACGGGUAGCCGGCCUGAGAGGGUGACCGGCCACAUUGGGACUGAGAUACGGCCCAGACUCCUAAGGGAGGCAGCAGUGGGGAAUAUUGCACAAUGGGCGCAAGCCUGAUGCAGCAACGCCGCGUGCGGGAUGACGGCCUUCGGGUUGUAAACCGCUUUCAGCAGGGACGAAGCUUUUUGUGACGGUACCUGCAGAAGAAGCACCGGCUAACUACGUG
This 465-nucleotide ribosomal RNA is filed under the name uncultured bacterium. Its description in RNAcentral is "partial 16S ribosomal RNA". It matches the Rfam family "Bacterial small subunit ribosomal RNA", at positions 28 to 507 of the family's 1533-position model. The record is from RNAcentral.